Molecule: non-coding RNA, 523 nt
Organism: Elaeis guineensis (African oil palm)
Lineage: Eukaryota; Viridiplantae; Streptophyta; Magnoliopsida; Arecales; Arecaceae
Source: RefSeq, a predicted model, not a curated record
GAAAAUAGAGAAAGAGGGGAUUAGAGAGGAUGGUAUUUUCCAUCAAAAAUCAAAAAAAAUCCAGCUAGAAGAAGAUGAUCUAUUGAUAACCCGAUUUGGAAGAAAAGAUUUCAAACAUUGAAAAGAGAAAGAAAACUAUGUUGGUCGCUAUAGUGUUCCAGCAAAUUGAGGAGAGGAAAAGAGCUCAAGUGGGUGCUUGGGUGAGUUAAGCAUCAAGAUGGUGUAGUAGCUAUUUGAGACUUGAAGCAUCCUAGCCAGGCAUAGAAGUGAAGCGUCAGUAUUAUCACUUAGCACUCAUGUUAGAGGAGCAUUUUGUUUGACAGCUAAGCUAGAAGAGCAUUUUGUAUGCCAGUUAAGAGAGAGAAGCAUUUCAUUUUGUUAUGUUAGCAGGUGAGAAGAGUAUUUUAGGUUAUGUUGUAUAUUUUGGGUUAUUCAAAUCAGAAAAUAUGAAUGUAUUAUACUUUUAAGCUAUAUAUAUAAAGUUAUGGAUUGAUGAAUAAAAGCUUAAGGUUGUUUUGAGUUA